This is an RNA transcript of Orcinus orca (killer whale), 3773 nucleotides long. It is a transcript of the gene named tetratricopeptide repeat domain 23 like, with no coding region annotated. NCBI's taxonomy places the organism in Eukaryota, Metazoa, Chordata, Mammalia, Artiodactyla, Delphinidae. The transcript is spliced from 2 exons. The record is from RefSeq and is a predicted model, not a curated record.
UGUAUUGCUAUAAACUUCCCACUUAGAACUGCUUUUGCUGCAUCCCAUACAUUUUGGGUCGUUGUGUUUUCUUUGUCAUUUGUUUCUAGGUAUUUUUUGAUCUCCUCUUUGGUUUCUUCAGUGAUCUACUACUAUUAAGUAGUAUAUUGUUUAGCCUCCAUGUGUUUGUAUUUUUUACAGAUUUUUUUCCUGUAAUUGAUAUCUAGUCUCAUAGCAUUGUGGUCGGAAAAGAUACUUGAUAUGAUUUCAAUUUUCUUAAAGUUACCAGGGCUUGAUUUGUGACCCAAGAUAUGAUCUAUCCUGGAGAAUGUUCAAUGAGCACUUGAGAAGAAAGUGUAUUCUGUUGUUUUUGGAUGGAAUGUCCUAUAAACAUCAAUUAAGUCCAUCUUGUUUAAUAUAUCAUUUAAAGCUUGUGUUUCCUUAUUUAUUUUCAUUUGGAUCAUCUGUCCAUUGGUGAAUGUGGGGUGUUAAAGUCUCCUACUAUGAUUGUGUUACUGUUGAUUUCCCCUUUUAUGGCUGUUAGCAUUUGCCUUAUAUAUUGAGGUGCUCCUGUGUUGGGUGCAUAAAUAUUUACAAUCGUUAUAUCUUCUUCUUGGAUUGAUCCCUUGAUCAUUAUGUAGUGUCCUUCUUUGUCUCUUGUAAUAGUGUUUAUUUUAAAGUCUAUUUUGUCUGAUAUGAGAAUUGCUACUCCAGGUUUCCUUUGAUUUCCAUUUGCAUGGAAUAUCUUUUUCUAUCCCCUCACUUUCAGUCUGCAUGUGUCCCUAGGUCUGAAGUGGGUCUCUUGUAGACAGCAUAUAUAUGGCUCUUGUUUUUGUAUCCAUUCAGCCAGUCUGUGUAUUUUGGUGGGAGCAUUUAAUCCAUUUACAUUUAAGGUAAUUAUUGAUUUGUAUGUUCCUAUUACCAUUUUCUUAAUUGUUUAGGGUUGAUUCUUUGUUAUUGUAGGUCUUUUCCUUCUCUUGUGUUUCCUGCCUAGGGAAGUUCCUUUAGCAUUUGUUGUAAAGCUGGUGUGGUGGUGCUGAAUUCUCUUAGCUUUUGCUUGUCUGUAAAGGUUUUAAUUUCUCCAUCAAAUAUGAAUGAGAUCCUUGCUGGGUAGAGUAAUCUUGGUUGUAGGUUUUUCCCUUUUAUCACUUUAAAUAUGUCCUGCCACUCCCUUCUGGCUUGCAGAGUUUCUGCUGAAAGAUCAGCUGUUAACCUUAUGGGGAUUCCCUUGUAUGUUAUUUGUUGUUUUUCCCUUGCUGCUUUUCAUAUUUUUUCUUUGUGUUUAAUUUUUGAUAGUUUGAUUAAUAUGUGUCUUGGCAUGUUUCUCCUUGGAUUUAUCCUGUAUGGGACUCUCUGUGCUUCCUGGACUUGAUUGACUGUUUCCUUUCCCAUAUUAGGGAAAUUUUCAACUAUCAUCUCUUCAAAUAAUUUCUCAGUAUCUUUGUUUUUCUCUUCUUCUUCUGGGACCCCUAUAAUUCGAAUGUUGGUGUGUUUAAUGUUGUCCCAGAGGUCUCUGAGAUUGUCCUCAAUUCUUUUCAUUCUUUUUUUCUUUAUUCUGCUCUGCAGUAGUUAUUUCCACUAUUUUAUCUUCCAGGUCACUUAUCCGUUCUUCUGCCUCAGUUAUUCUGCUAUUGAUUCCUUCUAGAGAAUUUUUAAUUUCAUUUAUAGUGUUGUUCAUCAUUGUUUGUUUGCUGUUUAGUUCUUCUAAGUCCAUGUUAAACAUUUCUUGUAUUUUCUCCAUUCUAUUUUCAAGAUUUUAGAUCAUCUUUACUAUCAUUACUCUGAAUUCUUUUUCAGGUAGACUGCCUAUUUCCUCUUUAUAUGUUUGGUCUGGUGGGUUUUUACCUUGCUCCUUCAUCUGCUGUGUGUUUCUCUGUCUUCUCAUUUUGCUUAACUUACUGUGUUUGGGGUGUCCGUUUUGCAGGCUGCAGGUUUGUAGUUCCUGUUGUUUUGGGUGUCUGCCCCCAGUGGCAAAGGUUGGUUCAGUGGGUUUUGUAGGCUUCCUGGUGGAGGGGACUGGUGACUGUAUUCUGGUGGAUGUGGCUGGAUCUUGUCUUUCUGGUGGUCAGGACCAUGUCUGGUGGUGUGUUUUGGGGUGUCUGUGAAUUUAAUAUGAUUUUAGGCAGCCUCUCUGCUAAUGGGUGGGUCUGUGUUCCUGUCUUGGUAGUUGUUUGGCAUGAGGUGUCCAGCACUGUAGCUUGCUGGUCGUUGAGUGGAGCUGGAUCUUAGCGUUGAGAUGGAGAUCUCUGGGAGAGCUUUUGCCGUUUGAUGUUACAUGGGGCUGGGAGGUGUUUGGUGGACCAAUGUCCUGAAGUCAGCUCCCCACCUCAGAAUCUCAGGCCUGACACCCGGCCAGAGCACCAAGACCCUGUCAACCACCCGGCUGCAAACAUAGAGUCCUUUCCAAUCUCAGCUCCCAAAUGGCUAACUGUUUAUUUCAGAUGGGUAAUUGCUGCCUUAAGCUGUUGGUGGCACUGUACCACCUACGGGUAAAAUGCAUACAGCACCAUCAGGAGUUAGUCUUUGCCUUUCAGUGAGGGACACUGUGUUAGGCCUGAUGUAUAUGAGGAUGGAGAAGACAAGGUCACCUUGCCAGGAGUUUAGAGUUUGGUUAGGAGAUAAGAUGUAUCCACAGGAAUCAACAUUAUCCCAAGAUGGUGAGAGCCAAGUGCAAAUAAGGAAGUUCUUAGUUCAAAAGGAAAGUGACACUAAGGAAAGAGUUAAUAUUAAUUGAGCAGCUGUCAGUGUAUUUGCUUAUUUAAAUCCUCCCAAGGGAUCCAUGGGAUUAUAUUAUCCUCUUUUUUGGACCCAAGGAAGCUUCAGCUCAGAGAGGUUAAUUUGCCCAAAACAAGUCAGGUGGAGAGCUUGUGCAGGCUCCCUCUGUGACAUUUUGUGUUUUCUAGUUGCUGUCUGCAAGGACCCCCUCCCCCCAGCCAGUUCUUGAUUAAAUUGUGUUUUUGAUGUCUCUCUAUGUUCUCCAUCCUGGAUUACUAGCACUGCUGGUUCUGCCAACACUCCUUACGUCUGUCACCAGUCAGACCAAGCUGACCUACCUUUAUCUGAACUAAACCUAAAGGUAUUGACAUAACUGAGCCUUUGGUUCUGUGUCUUCACUCUUGCUAAGUUAGGUGGCCCUUUUGUUUUUGUUGAGAUACUUUGUGGUGUUUUGUUCUAGUAUUCCUGUUUCUAAUGGGCAAAGCUGCACCAUUUUUACUGUUUGUGCCUCAGCUGGAAAUGAGGCUUCAGCUUUCAUUAACCCGAGCAGUCUGCGGCUGCACUGACCAGAGUCUUCAAACCUACCUUUGAAACUUGACUGCAAUGCUCUGGAAUUAAGUGAUGAUGAAGUGGACAAUGUUGUUGAGAUUUAGGUGGGAUUUAAAGGUGGAAGAAGGAUCAAGUCCUCCCAUAGUUUAGAGAUACCUUUUGAGGUUACUUUGAAUUACUGGAAAGUUAAAAACGACACUGAUGUAAAAGAUGGAGCUUUAAAACACAAAUAAGAGCAUAGUUUAUUACUGUAUUACCAGUUUAUCAGUGUUAUUUUACAUCUCUUUAUAAUUAUUAUUAUUAAUGGUAUAAACAAAGUUUGAUUUUUUUUUUUUAAUUACUCCCUCCUGAGUGGAUUGUCAUGUCAAGGGUUUUUAAACAGUUGCUAACAUUUUAAUAUUAUAUUCUCAUCACAUGAUUAACUGUCAGUGUGUUCCUUGUGUGGAAAAAGUUUACGUGAGCUGAGUGUUCAUUAUCUUCACUUCAGGCAGUUUCAACAAGAAAGGAGAUAAAAAAGAGCUUGGCAAGCA